Long non-coding RNA from Macrobrachium nipponense, 819 nucleotides. RefSeq lists it as uncharacterized. The record is from RefSeq and is a predicted model, not a curated record. The transcript has 3 exons. NCBI's taxonomy places the organism in Eukaryota, Metazoa, Arthropoda, Malacostraca, Decapoda, Palaemonidae.
UUGGCUAAAAGCUAUCUGGAAGAUUUUCAGUCGGUCUGUAGCGUUGGCUUCGUUGAGCCACGUUUUUUCGUCCUUCGUCGACGUCGCAGUGUGACAACGUGACUUGGGAUAUUAUCGUUAAUGAAGAUCAAGUUGAUGUACAGCAUCCUGAGAAUCCUGUGGGCUAAGCGUUCUACUGAAUUGGUGCAAAUAACAUUAUAUAGCUACCGGUUGUCGCCCAUUUAAAUACUUACCAAGGAGUCCUGGAUCUUUUCCCCAGGUGUGGAGGAGGUGACAAGGGCUUCCCAACAUCCCCUAGACCACCUGCCCUUUUGUUCACUGCAAAUUCCAGGAGUCAUGGAUCUUUUCCCCAGGUGUGGAGGAGGUGACAAGAGCUUCCCAACAUCCCCUACCUACUGGACCACCUGCCCUUUUGUUCACUGCAAAUUCCAGGAAUCUUGGAUCUUUUCCCCAAGAACAAUGGAACACGAAUAACAAGACAAAGACAAAUGCCACGAAGGAAUGAGAAACAAAGUAAGGGGUUCCCGGGGUUCCCGACAUCCCCUACCUCCUGGACCAUCUACAAAAAAAUUCUAUUCAUACACGUAGAUACUAAUCGGUAACUCGGAAAAGUGUAUAUCAAGCUCAGAAAGCUGAAAUCUUUUUUAUGGUACAGUCAUAUGUUUUUCUUUAAAAUAUAUUUAUAAAAUCUUGGUGGUUUCAGAAAAUUGAAUGUUUCGAGAGAGACUUCGGACAUUUAUUAAUAGUGCAUUUUACACAAGCAGCCUUUUUUUACAUGUUUUAUAUAUUGGCUUCGGCGAGCCUCUUGAAAUAAUCUGU